GUCAUUUAUGAUUCAUAGUAAAUUUUGUUUUCUACAAGUAUAUUUCAGGACUAUAAUAAAUAAGUUUAUAUAUAAAAUUAUAUUUGGUCAUUUAUGAAAUGCUAUAAUAAUUAAACACAUAUAUAAAUAGAUAAAUGUUACUGUACCUAAAAGUAGCCAGCAUAAAUUUCGAGAAAAAGACGGCCAUGUUAAUUCUGUACAGAAUAGCUCAGCCAUAAAUACGGCAUAGGCAAAAUAAAUAAAUAAAUAGUAGCUUUUAGAUAUAUUCAACUUCAAAAGCAGAUUUAGGUGGAGAGAAAACGGUAAAACAGUAAGUGGUAUCAUGCCAAAUGCCACUGUUAGAAAUUAACACUGUUUGUCCCAGCUCCACCAAGUCAGCUUCUUAACAGCAUUGUUCCCUCUGAGCAAUGUUCCGUCCAAGAAUUAGUCAUUAAAUGUCUCAUGCACUGGACAGCAAACUUGCUUUCAAUCUCUAUUCCCAAACACUUGUUUGAAAAAGGUUUAGCAUCAGCAAAAAGUAGAAGUGCAUGUCUAUAGUCCACUCAAAAUGCAGGCAGUCUAUAGCAAAUUAAGUGUUGAUGGAUAUAUACAUAUCACAGAAUGCCAGUUAUUUUAGUCCUUUUUUUUUAUUUUAAGUAUAAUAUAUUUGUUAAAUAUUUGGUAUUCAAAUGAAUAAAUAAAUAAAUAUGUUUGUGUGUGUGUGUGUGUGUGUAUGUAAUUACACAUACACACACAUUUUCCAGUGUUACGCUCCUCUUUGGUUUAAUUUCCUUUGCGCCAUAUGUUCUCAGUUGGCCAAUGGAGUACAGCAAUUUAGGGAAAAAAAUGCAGCGUUGGGGGUGUAUUCUGCCACUGCAUGCCUGGCCAUGAGUGAACAGUUGUAUUCACAGCAAAGUUUUCUGGAUGAAUAUGGCAUUAUAAGAUACGUGAUGUUGUCAUAAACAUUAGCAUGUGCUGUCAAUCAGUCCUAAACCAUGCCAUAAAAGAGCCCUUGUAAUAACUCACUACAGGCCACCAUUCCACAAUGUGAGGUUCACCUCCAAUAGGACAUUAAGUUACUGCAGAGCAACAGUAUUG
This is a non-coding RNA of Pelobates cultripes (western spadefoot toad), 1077 nucleotides long. The record is from the annotation of a GenBank genome assembly. NCBI's taxonomy places the organism in Eukaryota, Metazoa, Chordata, Amphibia, Anura, Pelobatidae.